Molecule: ribosomal RNA, 401 nt
Filed under: uncultured bacterium
Lineage: Bacteria
Description: bacterial SSU rRNA
Rfam family: Bacterial small subunit ribosomal RNA
Source: RNAcentral
CUGGGUUUGACAUGCACAGGGCGCGUCUAGAGAUAGGCGUUCCCUUGUGGCCUGUGUGCAGGUGGUGCAUGGCUGUCGUCAGCUCGUGUCGUGAGAUGUUGGGUUAAGUCCCGCAACGAGCGCAACCCUUAUCUUAUGUUGCCAGCGGGUAAUGCCGGGGACUCGUGAGAGACUGCCGGGGUCAACUCGGAGGAAGGUGGGGAUGACGUCAAGUCAUCAUGCCCCUUAUGUCCAGGGCUUCACACAUGCUACAAUGGCCGGUACAAAGGGCUGCGAUGCCGUAAGGUUAAGCGAAUCCUUUUAAAGCCGGUCUCAGUUCGGAUCGGGGUCUGCAACUCGACCCCGUGAAGUCGGAGUCGCUAGUAAUCGCAGAUCAGCAACGCUGCGGUGAAUACGUUCCC